Molecule: long non-coding RNA, 722 nt
Organism: Pocillopora verrucosa
Lineage: Eukaryota; Metazoa; Cnidaria; Anthozoa; Scleractinia; Pocilloporidae
Source: RefSeq, a predicted model, not a curated record
CAUUAAUUAAAAGUUCGGUUGUUUCGCCGUAAACAGUUAUCUUCUUGCGAAAGAUUUUUCAGGUUCAACAGCUAUCUGGAGUUUUCUGAGUUUUUCACCAAUAAAAAGAUUUCUAAUAACAGAGGAGAGACAUUAGCAUCCCUUCUGUGAAAAUUUCCACGCCGUUAUUUAUUCAACAACAUUAGAAAAGUUUUGCUACGUUACGCCAUAACUUCACAAGAUGACUGCCAAAACUUUAAAACAAUUGGCGGACGAGUGGUUUGUCACGAUUCUCGUCUGUUUCUGGGCUCUACUGAACGUGUGUACGUUAUUUGUUUGCAGUACCCUGGACCAUACAAUUCAUCAUUGGUUGGUCAACGGAUUAACUCUUGCUACUCAAGCUAAUAACACCACGAAAUAUAAUUAUCAGUAGAGUAUCAAUGCAGACAUUUUAGGGUGGUUAAAGAAUGAACAUUACAAAGAUAAAUUAUUUUUAUAGACAGAAAUAUUUAUUGAUUUAUUCAGUUGCUUAUCUGUUCAUCCAGCUAUUAACAACAUUAGAGAUGUACAUAUUUUAAUAAGUUACGUAUUUACAAUGUUUCAAAUGCGCAACUUCGGUUAUCAGUUUAUCCAUGCGUACUUUCAUUGAUUAAAUCGGAAGAUAGAAAAUCACAAAGUUUAAGGAAAAAUAGCUACUGAUGUGUAACAAACGGCUCAAACGUAAUCAUCUUGUUUUCCUUCGC